AUUGAACGCUGGCGGCAGGCCUAACACAUGCAAGUCGAGCGGAUGAAGGGAGCUUGCUCCUGGAUUCAGCGGCGGACGGGUGAGUAAUGCCUAGGAAUCUGCCUGGUAGUGGGGGAUAACGUCCGGAAACGGGCGCUAAUACCGCAUACGUCCUGAGGGUGAAAGUGGGGGAUCUUCGGACCUCACGCUAUCAGAUGAGCCUAGGUGGGAUUAGCUAGUUGGUGGGGUAAAGGCCUACCAAGGCGACGAUCCGUAACUGGUCUGAGUGGAUGAUCAGUCACACUGGAACUGAGACACGGUCCAGACUCCUACGGGAGGCAGCAGUGGGGAAUAUUGGACAAUGGGCGAAAGCCUGAUCCAGCCAUGCCGCGUGUGUGAAGAAGGUCUUCGGAUUGUAAAGCACUUUAAGUUGGGAGGAAGGGCAGUAAGUUAAUACCUUGCUGUUUUGACGUUACCAACAGAAUAAGCACCGGCUAACUUCGUG
Molecule: ribosomal RNA, 484 nt
Filed under: uncultured bacterium
Lineage: Bacteria
Description: partial 16S ribosomal RNA
Rfam family: Bacterial small subunit ribosomal RNA
Source: RNAcentral